CUGACCUCGUGAUCCGCCUGCCUCGGCCUCCCAAAGUGCUGGGAUUACAGGCGUGAGCCACCGCGCCCGGCCGCUGCUUUAAGUUCUUAACACGUCCUCACCGCGGCUCAGCUCACUGUACGGCCCCUGCAUAGAGAGGGGAGGGCAGGGGCCAUGAUACUGAACUCACAGCUCUGGGCAUUUCUGAAGUCUGGCCCUUGAAGCUUUUCCUAGAGCAAAUUGUUUUCUUCUCCCCUUCAGGAAACUGAAAAUUCACACAGCAGCCGUGGGAGUCAGAGUAGCAAAGGCUUUGAGAUCACAUAGACCUGGGACACGUGCUUGCUUUGUGAUUACGGGCUUUGUGAGAAAUAUCAGAUCCAUUGCAGGAAAUAAAGAAAAGACAUGUUCUCUGCAGACCCACAUGGCAGGUGCGGGGACUGCUUGCCAACCCAUGGCAACUCACCUGUAGCGCAUGGAGAUUUGGGGGUAAACCCAGUGAUGCUGAGUAUGUGGGCUGCCCAAGCUGGGUGGCAACCAACCCCAGCAUUGAAUGUGCUGAGAGCUGGACCGGUGGAUGUCCCCACUGCCCUGAGGCAGGUCCAGGAGAAGGCUCCUACCUGCUGUGCAGAGGGCAAGCCCCAAGUCAAGACUCCCAAAAUGUUACCAGAUGUCAGGCAUGAAAUAUACACCCCUGGCAAGCUCUGCCAUGCACAGGAGUCAUGCUGCUUUCAAUCCACGGGAGAGCCGGACACGAGCGUUCCAAGGCAGGAGCAGAACUCCAUGUUGGCCAUUAUAAAGACAAGAUUCCUUUUCCCCCGCUUUUUAUAGCCUCUCUGGGUAAGAUGUGUCUGGAAGGAGGUGUGGGCCAGGAAAGAGCAUAUGUCUGAUGCCUGGGAUUCCAGGACAGAAAGUACAGCCGACUCCAAGCUCUUGGGAUGGGAUUGGAGGGUCUCAAAACCUUGCCAGCUUUGGAGUCAGAGAGAAAAGAGUCCCAACCCCAGAUUUAUCAUUUGCUAACAAAUGUGACCUUGGGCAAAUCAGCUCACCUCUCUGGCCCUCAACAGAGAUAAUCCUGGGACCUAUUUCACAGUCAUGGAGAGGAUUAAAUGGGAAGAGGAAUAAAAGGAGUUUGGAGAAGUGCCCAGGACAUAGUAUGCACUGAGCAAAUUCCGUAGUAAGAGGAGUAUUAGUAAUAGCUACUAUUGAUUAGGUGGUGUUGUGAGUUGAACAGUGUUCCCCCAAAAUUCAUGUCCACCCAGAGACACAGAAUGUGACCAUUUGUGGAAAUAGGGUCUUUGCAAAUGUAAUUAGUUAAGAUGAGGUCAUACUAGAUUAGGGUAGGCCCUA
This 1326-nucleotide long non-coding RNA is filed under the name Homo sapiens (human). Its description in RNAcentral is "HSALNT0401706". Lineage: Eukaryota; Metazoa; Chordata; Mammalia; Primates; Hominidae. The record is from RNAcentral.